GGCGAACGCUGGCGGCGUGCCUAAUACAUGCAAGUCGAACGAGAGCGACCGGUGCUUGCACUGGUCAAUCUAGUGGCGAACGGGUGAGUAACACGUGGGUAACCUGCCCAUCAGAGGGGGAUAACAUCCGGAAACGGAUGCUAAAACCGCAUAGGUCUUCGAGCCGCAUGGCUUGAAGAGGAAAAGAGGCGCAAGCUUCUGCUGAUGGAUGGACCCGCGGUGCAUUAGCUAGUUGGUGAGGUAACGGCUCACCAAGGCCGUGAUGCAUAGCCGACCUGAGAGGGUGAUCGGCCACAUUGGGACUGAGACACGGCCCAAACUCCUACGGGAGGCAGCAGUAGGGAAUCUUCCGCAAUGGACGCAAGUCUGACGGAGCAACGCCGCGUGAGUGAAGAAGGUUUUCGGAUCGUAAAACUCUGUUGUUAGAGAAGAACAAGUGCUAGAGUAACUGUUAGCGCCUUGACGGUAUCUAACCAGAAAGCCACGGCUAACUACGUG
RNAcentral lists this ribosomal RNA (498 nucleotides) under uncultured bacterium. RNAcentral describes it as "partial 16S ribosomal RNA". It matches the Rfam family "Bacterial small subunit ribosomal RNA", at positions 28 to 507 of the family's 1533-position model. The record is from RNAcentral.